RNAcentral lists this ribosomal RNA (253 nucleotides) under uncultured bacterium. RNAcentral describes it as "partial 16S ribosomal RNA". It matches the Rfam family "Bacterial small subunit ribosomal RNA", at positions 524 to 776 of the family's 1533-position model. The record is from RNAcentral.
UACGUAGGCAGCAAGCGUUGUUCGGAGUUACUGGGCGUAAAGGGUGCGUAGGCGGUUGUUUAAGGUUGGUGUGAAAUCUCCCGGCUCAACUGGGAGGGUGCGCCGAAUACUGAAUGACUCGAGUGCGGGAGAGGAGAGUGGAAUUCCUGGUGUAGCGGUGAAAUGCGUAGAUAUCAGGAGGAACACCGGUGGUGUAGACGGCUCUCUGGACCGUAACUGACGCUGAGGCACGAAAGCGUGGGUAGCAAACAGG